GUUGAACGGCCACAUUGGGACUGAGACACGGCCCAGACUCCUACGGGAGGCAGCAGUGGGGAAUAUUGCACAAUGGGGGAAACCCUGAUGCAGCGACGCCGCGUGGAGGAAGAAGGUCUUCGGAUUGUAAACUCCUGUUGUUGAGGAAGAUAAUGACGGUACUCAACAAGGAAGUGACGGCUAACUACGUGCCAGCAGCCGCGGUAAAACGUAGGUCACAAGCGUUGUCCGGAAUUACUGGGUGUAAAGGGAGCGCAGGCGGGCGAUCAAGUUGGAAGUGAAAUCCAUGGGCUCAACCCAUGAACUGCUUUCAAAACUGGUCGUCUUGAGUAGUGCAGAGGUAGGCGGAAUUCCCGGUGUAGCGGUGGAAUGCGUAGAUAUCGGGAGGAACACCAGAGGCGAAGGCGGCCUACUGGGCACCAACUGACGCUGAGGCUCGAAAGUGUGGGUAGCAAACAGGAUUAGAUACCCUGGUAGUCCACACCGUAAACGAUGAUUACUAAGUGUUGGGAGAUUGACCCUCUCAGUGCCGCAGUUAACACAAUAAGUAAUCCACCUGGGGAGUACGACCGCAAGGUUGAAACUCAAAGGAAUUGACGGGGGCCCGCACAAGCAGUGGAGUAUGUGGUUUAAUUCGACGCAACGCGAAGAACCUUACCAAGUCUUGACAUCCCUUGACGAUGCUGGAAACAGUAUUUCUCUUCGGAGCAAGGAGACAGGUGGUGCAUGGUUGUCGUCAGCUCGUGUCGUGAGAUGUUGGGUUAAGUCCCGCAACGAGCGCAACCCUUAUGGUCAGUUACUACGCAAGAGGACUCUGGCCAGACUGCCGUUGACAAAACGGAGGAAGGUGGGGAUGACGUCAAAUCAUCAUGCCCUUUAUGACUUGGGCUACACACGUACUACAAUGGCGUUAAACAAAGAGAAGCAAGACCGCGAGGUGGAGCAAAACUCAGAAACAACGUCCCAGUUCGGACUGCAGGCUGCAACUCGCCUGCACGAAGUCGGAAUUGCUAGUAAUCGUGGAUCAGCAUGCCACGGUGAAUACGUUCCCGGGCCUUGUACACACCGCCCGUCACACCAUGAGAGCCGGGGGGACCCGAAGUCGGUAGUCUAACCGCAAGGAGGACGCCGCCUAAGGUAAAACUGGUGAUUGGGGUGAAGUCGUAACAAGGUAG
RNAcentral lists this ribosomal RNA (1175 nucleotides) under metagenome. Its description in RNAcentral is "bacterial SSU rRNA". It matches the Rfam family "Bacterial small subunit ribosomal RNA", at positions 299 to 1499 of the family's 1533-position model. The record is from RNAcentral.